AGCAUUAUUCACACCACGUUAAAUAUAUCGGUACUCGUCCGAUCACCGAAACUAAAGAGCGUCGGUGGCGGUUAGUACCCAGAUGGGGGGCAACUUGGGAACGCCGCUUGUCGUUGGCA
Molecule: ribosomal RNA, 119 nt
Filed under: Glossina morsitans morsitans
Lineage: Eukaryota; Metazoa; Arthropoda; Insecta; Diptera; Glossinidae
Source: RNAcentral